RNAcentral lists this unclassified non-coding RNA (1131 nucleotides) under Hevea brasiliensis (rubber tree). Lineage: Eukaryota; Viridiplantae; Streptophyta; Magnoliopsida; Malpighiales; Euphorbiaceae. The record is from RNAcentral.
UAAGAAUUAUCUCUUUCUACAAAACCCUUUGAAAAUCGUUGUGACUCAUUGUUAGAAUAGCAGCUCAAGUAAAAGUUCAGGCUCAGGAUAGGAAGGACUGGACCAGGUUACAGAAAAAUGUGAAGAAGUAGGGAGUCUUGGAAGCAUCAGCAAACUGGAAUCAAACAGCUGGAAUUGGUUAACUUGGUUGAGCAGUUAGAGGAAAAUACAGGAGCAAAGCCACAUGGGAAUGGGAAGCAGAAGGGUGCUCCAUCUCCAGUAUAAAUGAGGUCUUGGAGAGAAGAAGUCAGCCGGCAUUUUAUCAAAGCAACAGCAGCAGCUGGGCCUAGCUUGGCAAGUUCGGGAGAUUUCUCCUGGUUAUCUUUUUGACUUAAUCAUUUCAAUUGUAUUUCCUUUUCUGUUGAGACUAGUAGAAGAAGAAGCGAUGAUUUGUAAUUGAAACUUCUGUGUAAAAGUCAUUUCUCAUUAUCCCAUCAAUACAAUUACAAUUCUCCAAUUCUAUUCUCUUUUUUACAAUUAUCAAUUGUUCCUAACUCUAUCACUCAUGUUGAUGCAUAUUGAUGUGGAUUAAAAAGCAAAGUGAAUGUGAUUAGGUACUUAGGCAUCCUACAUAGUAGAUUAUACAGCACCAUAUCAAAAUAGAUUUCACAUCCAAAAUGGCUUACAUAGACUCAUACAGUCCAAUAAACACUGUUACAACGGUAUAGCCUUUAGUGAUAUAAAAGGCCUUUUGAUCCCAUUUGUCUGCAGAAGCAGUUUCUCAAGGCAGAAAGACUCCAAACCUUCCAUUUUUGCAUUUCUCAGCCCUCAUAACCCAAAAUUUACCUCCAUAUUUCAGUUUUAAUCAGAUUUAUCACUAUGCCCUCAAAUUCCAAGAGUAGGGAAAAAAAGGAAUUUUUUAGAAACAAGAAAAUAUUUGAUCAAACGAUUUCUCGCUACCAAGAUUCUCCACGAUAUUCCUGCCAUAGUUAUUAAAGACUCAAGGUGCAAUAAGGCAUCAAGGGGUACUAAAGCCUAGGCACAAGGCGCAGGCGCGCACCUGCGCGAGGUGAGGUGCAAAAAAAAAUCAUAAAAGUCUAAUAAAUGUGAUCCCAUCAAAAUUCAAAUGACAUAAAACUAAAAAUAAUAAUA